Molecule: ribosomal RNA, 795 nt
Filed under: uncultured bacterium
Lineage: Bacteria
Description: bacterial SSU rRNA
Rfam family: Bacterial small subunit ribosomal RNA
Source: RNAcentral
AGAGUUUGAUCCUGGCUCAGAUUGAACGCUGGCGGCGUGCCUAACACAUGCAAGUCGAGCGGUAACAGGUGUAGCAAUACAUGCUGACGAGCGGCGAACGGGUGAGUAAUGCUUUGGAAUCUUCCCAGUAGUGGGGAAUAACCAGUCGAAAGAUUGGCUAAUACCGCAUACGUCUGUAAAGGGAAAGCGGGGGAUCGUAAGACCUCGCGCUAUUGGAUGAGCCAAAGUCGGAUUAGCUAGUUGGUGGGGUAAUGGCCUACCAAGGCGACAAUCCGUAGCUGGUCUGAGAGGACGACCAGCCACACCGGAACUGAGACACGGUCCGGACUCCUACGGGAGGCAGCAGUGGGGAAUAUUGGACAAUGGGGGAAACCCUGAUCCAGCGACGCCGCGUGUGUGAAGAAGGCCUGCGGGUUGUAAAGCACUUUUAGUGGGGACAAAAAGCUACGGACUAACACUUCGUGGUCUUGAUUUAACCCAAAGAAAAAGCACCGGCUAACUCUGUGCCAGCAGCCGCGGUAAUACAGAGGGUGCGAGCGUUAAUCGGAAUUACUGGGCGUAAAGCGCGCGUAGACGGUUUUGUAAGUCAGAUGUGAAAUCCCCGGGCUCAACCUGGGAACUGCAUUUGAUACUGCAUGGCUAGAGUAUCGAAGAGGGAAGUGGAAUUUCCGGUGUAGCGGUGAAAUGCGUAGAUAUCGGAAGGAACACCAGUGGCGAAAGCGACUUCCUAGUCGAAUACUGACGUUCAUGUGCGAAAGCGUGGGGAGCAAACAGGAUUAGAUACCCUAGUAGUCC